This 466-nucleotide ribosomal RNA is filed under the name uncultured bacterium. RNAcentral describes it as "SSU rRNA". It matches the Rfam family "Bacterial small subunit ribosomal RNA", at positions 26 to 523 of the family's 1533-position model. The record is from RNAcentral.
AGAAUCAACGCUGGCGGCGCGCUUAACGACAUGCAAGUCGCACGAGAAAGUGGAGCAAUCCAUGAGUACAGUGGCGUACGGGUGAGUAACACGUGGAUCAUCUACCUUUUAGUGGGGAACACCCCUGGGAAACCGGGGAUAAUACCGCAUAAGCUCGUAAGAGGAAAGCCGAAAGGCGCUGAAAGAGGAGUCCGCGGCUGAUUAGCUAGUUGGCGAGGUAAUGGCUCACCAAGGCGAAGAUCGGUAGCCGGCCUGAGAGGGCACACGGCCACACUGGCACUGAAACACGGGCCAGACUCCUACGGGAGGCAGCAGUGGGGAAUCUUGCACAAUGGAGGAAACUCUGAUGCAGCGGCGCCGCGUGAGCGAUGAAGCCCUUCGGGGUGUAAAGCUCUUUCGACGGGAACGAUAAUGACGGUACCCGGAGAAGAAGCUGCGGCUAACUACGUGCCAGCAGCCGCGGUAA